RNAcentral lists this ribosomal RNA (253 nucleotides) under uncultured bacterium. RNAcentral describes it as "partial 16S ribosomal RNA". It matches the Rfam family "Bacterial small subunit ribosomal RNA", at positions 524 to 776 of the family's 1533-position model. The record is from RNAcentral.
UACGAAGGGGGCUAGCGUUGUUCGGAAUCACUGGGCGUAAAGCGUACGUAGGCGGGCACUUAAGUCAGGGGUGAAAGCCUGGAGCUCAACUCCAGAACUGCCUUUGAUACUGGGUGUCUCGAGUCCGGGAGAGGUGAGUGGAACUGCUAGUGUAGAGGUGAAAUUCGUAGAUAUUAGCAAGAACACCAGUGGCGAAGGCGGCUCACUGGCCCGGUACUGACGCUGAGGUACGAAAGCGUGGGGAGCAAACAGG